UAGCAGGAAAAGGCCCUGGGGGUGGGGCCUAGGUGGGGUGAUGUUCAAGUGUGGGGCAGGGCCUCUGCUUAGGACCUGGGUGGAAGGAAAGGAGGGCCUCUGGAGUGUGGAGUUCUGGAGUGUGGAGGAAGAAGAGACGGCAGCUGAGAAGGGAGAAGAUAGGAGGAGGGUGGUAUUCUCUGUGGCUGGUAACAAGAAAAGAAAGAAUAUGGCUCAUGAAAGAUUUCAGAAGCGCUUCUUUUCAGUAACAGACUUCAGAAAGGAUUGAUGUCUUGCCUUCUUGUUCCCCCUGUCCUCCAAAGCUUCGAGGUCACCUUUCAACUUCUGAGUCUCUUUCAGGGCUGCAGCACGAACCUUCACAACUCGUGAGAGCUCCCCUUCAUUCUUUUCAAGAAUGGAUUUCACCUUAGUAGAAAAAAAGAAAUGAUAAAUGAUUCUCCCAAAGCACAAUCAAUCAGCAAUUAGAAUAAGACAGCAAUUUAGAAGCCAAAUUUAAAAUGUUUAAUUAAAUAUGCUUAUAUAUUAUUGUAAAUAAAAACUAGCUUUAGUAGCUGUUUUUCCCCUUAAAACUACAAAGCAAAAAAAAAAUCUGUUAAUAAACAUGGGCAAAUCUCUAAUAUAUGUCAAUCUCUAUGAAAGCACAGAAUGAAGGUAAGGGAGAUAAGACAAUGAUGCUAAGAUGAAAAACGGGGGAGGAACUGAUUAUCACAGAAUUUGAAAAUACAAUAUAAAUUAAUAUCAUAAAAGCAAAGGUGAAGAAGUACUAAAUAGUGUCAAGAAAAUAGUGUUACAGAAGUGUUCUAAAUAGUGUCCUAAUCCUAAUUAGAAGUAUUAGAAUUUUACAUCUCUGAAAUACUUUUAGUAUAUCUACAGUUAUUUCAGAUGAUCAUACUAUUCUAAAUACUACUCUUUUAAAAAAUACUUUAUCUUGAAAUACAGACUCACAGGAGGUUACAAAAUUAGUGCAGAGUCCCCAUGCACUCUUUUCCCUGCUUCUAAUGAUGACAUCUUAUAUUGUAGUUCAACAUUAAAACCAGGAAACUGACUUUAAUGAGAUUAACUAGACUACAAAACUUACAAUUUUCACCAUUUUUUUUAAUCUGCAUUCAUCUGUGUAUGCACACAUGCACACAGCUCUAUGUAAUCUGAUCCCAUGCACAUAUUCCUGUGAUCACGACAAUCAAGAUAACAGAACUGCUCCACUGCCGCAAAGAACUCACUUGUGCUACUUCUCUGUGUUCACACCCUCCCCCAAACUCAUCCCAUGUCCCCUGGCAACCACUAAUUUGUUCUCUAUCGCUACUGUUUUUGUCAUUUCAAGAAUGUUAUUUUAAGCAUUUAAAAAUAAUUAAUUUCAGUAUAAUACAUUCAUAUUUUUAAAACAGCCUUACUGAGAUAUAGUUGACAUACAAUAAGCUAUGUAUAUUUAAAGUGUACAAUUUUGAUAUAUGUAUAAACCAUAAUCAUGAUAAUGAACACUUCCAUUAUCCCAAAAGUUCCCUUAUGCCUUUUUGUAAUUUCCCCCACUUCUAUCUCUCCCUGUUCCUACACAUCCACCCAAGGCUACCACUGACCUGUUUCCUGUCACAAUCAAUUCACUUUUAUUUCCUAGAAUUUUAUAUAAUGAAAUCAUAUUUUAUGUACUCAUUUCUGAAUGAUUUUUCACUCAGCACAGUUAUUUUGAGAUUCACUCAAUCUUCUUUAUGUUGCGGAAUAGUGUUCUGCUGAACACUUGAGUUGUUCCAGUUUUAGCUAUUACAAGUAGAGCUGCUCUGGGCAGUUGUAUACAGAUCUUUGUGUAGACAUACGCUUUCAUUUAUCUUUGGUAAAUGCAUAGGAGUGGAAUGGCUGGGUUGUAUGGUAGUAAUAUGUAUCACUUUUAAAGAAACUACCAGACUAUUUUCCAGAGUGGCUGAGUGAUUUUACAUUCCCUUCAGCAACGUAUGAGAGUUCCUCCACAUCUUCACUAACACUUGGGGUAAUCAGUUUUUCAAUUUUAGACAUUCUAAUAGUGUGUGGUAGUAUCUCACUGCAGUUUCAAUUUGCAUUUCCCUAAUAACUGAUGUUUAACAUCUUUUCAAGUGCUUAUUUAUCAUCCAUAUAUCUUUUUUGGUGAAACGUGUGUUCAAAUACUUUGCGCCUUUUUCUUUUUUUUCGUAUUGUCUUUCCUUCUUAGUGAGUUUUGAGAGUUUUUAAUAAACUGUGGAGACAAGACCUUUAUCAGAUAUGUGAUUUGCAAAUGUUUUUUUCCCCCAGCCUGUAGCUUUUCUCUUCAUUUUCUUAACAAUGUCUUUGAAGAGCAUACGUUGUCAAUGUUACAUUUUUUCCUUUAUGGAUCAUGCUUUUGAUGUCAAAUCUAAGAAAUCUUUGUGUAAUCCAAGAUCACAAUGGUUUCAUCCUAUGUUUCAGAAGUUUUACAGUUUUAGGUUUUACCUUUACGGCUUUCAUCCAUUUUGAGUUAAUUUUUGUAUAUGGUAAGAGGUAUGGAUCAAAGGUAUUUUGUUUUUUUGUUUUGCAUAUGAUACCCAAUUGCUUUAGCACAUUUGAUGAAAAGACCAUCCUUUCUCUACUUUUGCUUCUGUUGAAAAUAAAGUGUUCAUAAAAUUAUUCUGGAUGGGUAGCACAUUCACAUUACUCUUAAGGUGCAAAAGGAUAAAGUGAAAAAUCUCCCAGCCACCCAGUUUGCUUCCUCGAAAAUAAUGUUGCCAAUUUAUUACGAUUCAUUUUAGAGAGACUCUAUUCAAAAGUGAAUACAUAUGUAUACUUCAUCGCCCCAAUCCUUCUGCACACAAAUAUUAAAAUACUCUGUAUACUCUU
Molecule: long non-coding RNA, 2817 nt
Organism: Orcinus orca (killer whale)
Lineage: Eukaryota; Metazoa; Chordata; Mammalia; Artiodactyla; Delphinidae
Exons: 3
Source: RefSeq, a predicted model, not a curated record